UAUGUGGCAUACGGCUCAGUAACACGUAGUCAACAUGCCCAGGGGACGUGGAUAACCUCGGGAAACUGAGGAUAAACCGCGAUAGGUCAUCACUUCUGGAAUGGGUAAUGACUUAAAUCUACAUGGCCCCUGGAUUGGACUGCGGCCGAUCAGGCUGUUGGUGAGGUAAUGGCCCACCAAACCUGUAACCGGUACGGGCUCUGAGAGGAGGAGCCCGGAGAUGGGCACUGAGACAAGGGCCCAGGCCCUAUGGGGCGCAGCAGGCGCGAAACCUCUGCAAUAGGCGAAAGCUUGACAGGGUUACUCUGAGUGAUUUCCGUUAAGGAGAUCUUUUGGCACCUCUAAAAAUGGUGCAGAAUAAGGGGUGGGCAAGUCUGGUGUCAGCCGCCGCGGUAAUACCAGCACCCCGAGUGGUCGGGACGUUUAUUGGGCCUAAAGCAUCCGUAGCCGGUUCUACAAGUCUUCCGUUAAAUCCACCUGCUUAACAGAUGGGCUGCGGAAGAUACUAUAGAGCUAGGAGGCGGGAGAGGCAAGCGGUACUCGAUGGGUAGGGGUAAAAUCCGUUGAUCCAUUGAAGACCACCAGUGGCGAAGGCGGCUUGCCAGAACGCGCUCGACGGUGAGGGAUGAAAGCUGGGGGAGCAAACCGGAUUAGAUACCCGGGUAGUCCCAGCUGUAAACGAUGCA
This 686-nucleotide ribosomal RNA is filed under the name uncultured Nitrososphaerota archaeon. RNAcentral describes it as "bacterial SSU rRNA". It matches the Rfam family "Archaeal small subunit ribosomal RNA", at positions 75 to 764 of the family's 1478-position model. Lineage: Archaea; Thermoproteati; Nitrososphaerota. The record is from RNAcentral.